Molecule: ribosomal RNA, 495 nt
Filed under: uncultured soil bacterium
Lineage: Bacteria
Description: bacterial SSU rRNA
Rfam family: Bacterial small subunit ribosomal RNA
Source: RNAcentral
AGAUUGAACGCUGGCGGCACGCCUAACACAUGCAAGUCGAGCGGCAGCGAGAUGUGUAGCAAUACACAUUGUCGGCGAGCGGCGGACGGGUGAGUAAUACGUAGGAAUCUACCUUAAAGAGGGGGACAACCAAGGGAAACUUUGGCUAAUACCGCAUAAUCUCGCAAGAGUAAAGGUGCCCAGCAAUGGGUGUCGCUUUAAGAGGAGCCUGCGUCCGAUUAGCUAGUUGGUAGGGUAAAAGCCUACCAAGGCUGUGAUCGGUAACUGGUCUGAGAGGACGACCAGUCACACUGGGACUGAGACACGGCCCAGACUCCUACGGGAGGCAGCAGUGGGAAUAUUGGACAAUGGGGGCAACCCUGAUCCAGCGAUGCCGCGUGGGUGAAGAGGCCUUGGUGUAAGCCUUAGGUGGAAGAGGUGAGGUGAGUAAUACUCUACACUUUGACGUACCAACAGAAUAAGCACCGACAACUCUGUCGCAGCAGCCGCGGUAAC